Molecule: ribosomal RNA, 253 nt
Filed under: uncultured bacterium
Lineage: Bacteria
Description: partial 16S ribosomal RNA
Rfam family: Bacterial small subunit ribosomal RNA
Source: RNAcentral
GACGAGCCUCACAAACGUUAUUCGGAAUCACUGGGCUUAAAGGGUGCGUAGGCGGUCGGGUAAGUUUGAUGUGAAAUCUCCGGGCUUAACCCGGAAACUGCAUUGAAUACUAUUCGGCUUGAGGUCUGGAGGGGGGACUGGAAUUCUCGGUGUAGCAGUGAAAUGCGUAGAUAUCGAGAGGAACACCAGUGGCGAAGGCGAGUCCCUGGACAGGUCCUGACGCUGAGGCACGAAAGCUAGGGGAGCAAACAGG